This 450-nucleotide ribosomal RNA is filed under the name Oxygonia gloriola. Its description in RNAcentral is "bacterial SSU rRNA". The stretch from base 163 to 450 matches the Rfam family "Eukaryotic small subunit ribosomal RNA", at positions 644 to 927 of the family's 1831-position model. Lineage: Eukaryota; Metazoa; Arthropoda; Insecta; Coleoptera; Carabidae. The record is from RNAcentral.
AGUUGAAUUUGUGUCUUGCGCUGUUGGUUCAUCGCUGUUUGCGGUGUUUAACUGACACGUUGUGAGACGUCUUGCCGGAAGGGCAUGGUAUAUGUUUUAUUUGUCUUCAUAAUAUGCACUAUAAUGAUUGUAUGUAUUGUUUAAUAGCUUUAUAUAUUGAUUGUUAUUAGUUGUUAUAUUGUGUAUGGCAGGUAAUAACGUGUACGUAGUCCGACUUUUUAAAAUCCUGUCUAGGUGCUCUUAAUUGAGUGUCGUGGCGGGCCGGCACGUUUACUUUGAACAAAUUAGAGUGCUUAAAGCAGGCUUAUGUUGCCUGAAUAUAGUGUGCAUGGAAUAAUGAAACAGGACCUCGGUUCUAUUUUGUUGGUUUUCUGAUCAAACGAGGUAAUGAUUAAUAGGGACAGAUGGGGGCAUUCGUAUUGCGACGUUAGAGGUGAAAUUCUUGGAUCG